Long non-coding RNA from Cucumis melo (muskmelon), 666 nucleotides. RefSeq lists it as uncharacterized. Lineage: Eukaryota; Viridiplantae; Streptophyta; Magnoliopsida; Cucurbitales; Cucurbitaceae. The transcript has 2 exons. The record is from RefSeq and is a predicted model, not a curated record.
CUUGAGUGUGGCAUGAAAUGAAUGCCCUUUGGGAUCUUUAUUAUUUUCAAUUAAAGAUAGACUAUUUUUCUUGUGAGGUUGUGGGAUUUUUUCCAAAAAAAUUUAAGUGAGGAAUCUGAUCAACGAAUUUUCUAUAGGGAAUCCUCUCUUGAAAUUAAGUGGAGAACUUCGUUGGGAUGAAGAAUGAGAUGGAGGGUGGAGAAGUGGAAGAUGCAUCUCCGUACCCUUCCAACCGGUCCAAGGAGCUGGCAAAGAGUCAUUCAUUCUCUAAGCCAAUAAAGUUGAAUCUGAAUCAGAUGCAGAUGCAGAUAAAUGGGCAAGAAUACACAAAUUGAUGUUUCAAUCAUAUGCUUGGUUUUGUCAUUUUGGCUGUCCAAAGGCACACAUUUGAGGUUAUGAUCUGGUCCACACUAUCCUUCAUUAUUUAUCCUACCUUUUUUGUUUGUUUUGUUUCCAACAAAACACUUGCUAUUCAGUACCCCGAUAGAAAAUUUAAAAAGAAAAUCAAUGAAGAUGCAUAGAAAGUAGACUAUUUGGUCAGUUUCAAGUGGUGUGAUUUGAUAUGAAGCAGACCCUUUAACAGAGCUUCUUUUGACUGUUAGUUUAGGUAGAGAGAGAGAAAAAAAAUCAAGAAUUUAAUGCAUUAUUCUGCCAUUUCAUUCUUCA